UUAGUUUUCUUCCAUUAAAAAAAAUAAAAGUUGCAGUAAACUAAGAAACACUUCUUUGCUUUCACACACAAAAACUUCACUUCACCAACAAAGAACCAUACACACACCUCAUGCUCUUUUCUUUCUAACAUAAACAACUUCAUACACACAUGAAAAGAAAACCACCAUCAAACACUUAUCAUAUUCAUCUCUCCCUCUCCAUGGCCAACACAACAUAAACCUUCUACCAUCAUCGUCAUCCCAUCUUCAUGAAGCUUUCUUCUUUUUUGUUUUGAAAAAAAUCGGACUCCUCCACCGCGACCAUCGGAUCCGGAAAACCACAACCACCAUGCUCUCCUUCGGAAGCCAAACCGUUCUCGCUGCCAUUGUCGGAGGACCGCCGUCCCCGACCACGCGCAAACCACAGCUGCACACCGUCGGUAACGCUUACUUUUCCUUGUCUCCAUUGUCUUUUCUUUAUUGUCUUGUUUUUAUCCACGGUUGUCGAUUGAUUUGAGAUGAAGAGAUUUCUUGUUGUAUUCCUUAUAAGUGAGAAAGAAAAAUUGAUAUUUUAAAAAGAAAGAGAAGUCACGUUUUAUUACCUUAGAAUAUAUUGUCUUAUUAUUAACUAGGUACUGCUUGAUCUCAUAUUAAAUUGGUUGUUGUGUACUGAUCCAUUAUUGCCAUUUAUUUAAAAAUACUAUUAUUAUAAUUAUUAUUAUAUUGUUUAUUAUUAUUAUUAUUAUUAUUGUUACUAUU
This 738-nucleotide long non-coding RNA is filed under the name Lathyrus oleraceus (garden pea). RNAcentral's name for it is "Pisum sativum (pea) long non-coding RNA (PSAT_LNC034856)". Lineage: Eukaryota; Viridiplantae; Streptophyta; Magnoliopsida; Fabales; Fabaceae. The record is from RNAcentral.